This is a non-coding RNA of Trametes coccinea BRFM310, 94 nucleotides long. Lineage: Eukaryota; Fungi; Basidiomycota; Agaricomycetes; Polyporales; Polyporaceae. The record is from the annotation of a GenBank genome assembly.
GGCCGCCUGGCGAAAUGGCAUCGCGUCUGACUACGAGUGUUGAACGUAAACCUCGGGCAUCAGGAGAUUGCAGGUUCGACCCCUGCGGUGGUCA